UAAUGUGACAACAUCAGAUGAAGCAAAUUGUUUUUUUUUUCCAGAAAAUGAAUCGAUGAAAAGAAAAUGCUCUCUGCAAAACAGAACGACGAUUGAAUUCAAGAUCUACCGACAACUCUCAUUCUCCGAUAUCUAUACGUUCAGAAAUAUUUGCAUGUCGAAUAUGAAGCCAUCUGUGAUAAAAACGAUGAGUCCGAGAUGGUUGUCAACUGUACCUGUUCCGAUCAAUUCAAUGAAGUCGUAAGAGGCACAGGAAGAUAACAAAAGUUAAAUCUAAGUUGAUGUCUUUGUGUUAAAUAAUUAAGGAUUUCUUCAACUGUACACAGAUAAGUCUUCCACUAUAGCUUUUUUAUUAUACGUGAGACUGUUAAUCUCAUCUCCUUUAGAGUUAGUGAGUUGACUUAAUUAUGUAUACAAUUCAUGUGCAGGUGCGUGCAGUUAAAAAUUUAGAGACAGAGCUUUAUUCAUCUGAAGAAAAUGGGACAGGGACUUAGUAGAUGCAAGUCAAGAACAGGAUCACCUCCAGCUUUUUACGUUGCUUCUCCAAGUACGCUGAAUGGACGCUGAAUGGUAUUGCCUCAACACAAUCCAAAACUUUGCCCAGCACAUCUGACAAAAUAAAACAUGGUAAAGGGUGUAAGGUUUGAUUAUGAAGAUGAUUUUGAUGGGCUGAACAUCCUUUUAACAUGCAUGGACUUAUUUGGAAAUGAGCCUAACUUAUUCGGUUGUAAAUUGGUCAGAUUAUGGAUAAGUCAUUAAAACAAAAGAAUUCUGAUUGGUCUAAAAACGGGAUCGACAUUUAUUUUUUACAAAAAAAAAGGUAAUGGCAUUUGGUGGUAAAUAA
Molecule: long non-coding RNA, 844 nt
Organism: Raphanus sativus (radish)
Lineage: Eukaryota; Viridiplantae; Streptophyta; Magnoliopsida; Brassicales; Brassicaceae
Exons: 4
Source: RefSeq, a predicted model, not a curated record